CUGCUGCCUUCCGUAGGAGUUUGGACCGUGCCUCAGUUCCAAUGUGGGGGACCUUCCUCUCAGAACCCCUAUCCAUCGUCGUCUUGGUGGGCCGUUACCCCGCCAACUAACUAAUGGGACGCAUCCCCAUCGAUAACCGAAAUUCUUUAAUAUCAAGAUCAUGCGAUCUUGAUAUGCUAUCGGAUAUUAAUCUUUCUUUCGAAAGGCUAUCCCCGAGUUAUCGGCAGGUUGGAUACGUGUUACUCACCCGUGCGCCGGUCG
RNAcentral lists this ribosomal RNA (261 nucleotides) under uncultured bacterium. RNAcentral's name for it is "partial 16S ribosomal RNA". The record is from RNAcentral.